GGCAGCAGCCAUGUCACCCUGCAACUCACACCUGGCAACCCACUAAAGCUAAGCAGGUGUGAGCCUGGCCAGUACCUGGAUUGGAGAUUUCCUGGGAAAAACUAAGGUUGCUGCUGGAA
Molecule: ribosomal RNA, 119 nt
Filed under: Lepisosteus oculatus (spotted gar)
Lineage: Eukaryota; Metazoa; Chordata; Actinopteri; Semionotiformes; Lepisosteidae
Source: RNAcentral